GCAUGAAGCUGAAUGAAUAUGGUGAUGUUGUUUUAGAUCUUCCCCAUUAAUCGGCUACGAACCGGGCGGUCGGUGGUUCGAAUCCACCCGAGUGCACCA
RNAcentral lists this transfer RNA (99 nucleotides) under SAR92 clade bacterium H455. RNAcentral describes it as "tRNA-Arg". The record is from RNAcentral. Lineage: Bacteria; Pseudomonadati; Pseudomonadota; Gammaproteobacteria; Cellvibrionales; Porticoccaceae.